RNAcentral lists this ribosomal RNA (468 nucleotides) under uncultured bacterium. RNAcentral's name for it is "bacterial SSU rRNA". It matches the Rfam family "Bacterial small subunit ribosomal RNA", at positions 28 to 492 of the family's 1533-position model. The record is from RNAcentral.
GAUGAACGCUGGCGGCGUGCUUAACACAUGCAAGUCGAACGAAGCAUUUGCGACAGAUUUCUUCGGGAUGAAGUUGCUUAUGACUGAGUGGCGGACGGGUGAGUAACGCGUGGGUAACCUGCCUUGUACUGGGGGAUAGCAGUUGGAAACGACUGCUAAUACCGCAUAAGCGCACAGGGUCGCAUGACCUGGUGUGAAAAACUCCGGUGGUAUGAGAUGGACCCGCGUCUGAUUAGCCAGUUGGUGGGGUAACGGCCUACCAAAGCGACGAUCAGUAGCCGACCUGAGAGGGUGACCGGCCACAUUGGGACUGAGACACGGCCCAAACUCCUACGGGAGGCAGCAGUGGGGAAUAUUGCACAAUGGGGGAAACCCUGAUGCAGCGACGCCGCGUGAGCGAAGAAGUAUUUCGGUAUGUAAAGCUCUAUCAGCAGGGAAGAAGAAAUGACGGUACCUGACUAAGAAGCA